This 425-nucleotide ribosomal RNA is filed under the name uncultured bacterium. Its description in RNAcentral is "partial 16S ribosomal RNA". It matches the Rfam family "Bacterial small subunit ribosomal RNA", at positions 354 to 796 of the family's 1533-position model. The record is from RNAcentral.
GUUAGGAAUAUUGGACAAUGGGCGAAAGCCUGAUCCAGCCAUGCCGCGUGAACGAUGAAGGCCUUCGGGUUGUAAAGUUCUUUAGCCGAUGAUUAUAAUGACUGUAGUCGGAAAAUAAGCCCCGGCUAACUUCGUGCCAGCAGCCGCGGUAAUACGAAGGGGGCGAGCGUUAUUCGGAAUCACUGGGCGUAAAGCGUGCGUAGGCGGUUUUGUAAGUUAGGAGUGAAAGCCCAGGGCUCAACCUUGGAAUUGCUCUUAAAACUGCAAGGCUCGAAUCUCGGAGAAGAUAGCAGAAUUUCCAGUGUAGCAGUGAAAUGCGUAGAUAUUGGAAGGAACACCAGUGGCGUAAGCGGCUAUCUGGACGAGUAUUGACGCUGAGGCACGAAAGCGUGGGGAUCAAACAGGAUUAGAAACCCGGGUAGUCC